AUGAUGGCAUGGAUAAGGAGUAGUAGUUGCCUAAGGAGCGUACCAGAGAGUUAACGGUUGGUGCGAGUUAACCGCUUCCGGCAAUGAACUCGCCUUGGAGCCGAUAGCGGGAUAUAAAGGUACCGUUAUCCGUCUCAUCCACGUUACGGAUGCUAAAGUGAGCGCAAGGCUUGCACAUAGCUCUGCGUUAACUAGGGUGGUACCGCGGGAGUAAGCCUCUCGUCCCUGGA
Molecule: non-coding RNA, 230 nt
Filed under: Aneurinibacillus sp.
Lineage: Bacteria; Bacillati; Bacillota; Bacilli; Caryophanales; Paenibacillaceae
Description: T-box sequence
Rfam family: T-box leader
About the family: Uncharged tRNA acts as the effector for transcription antitermination of genes in the T-box leader family. T-boxes are found upstream of many aminoacyl-tRNA synthetase genes and some amino acid biosynthetic genes usually in Gram-positive bacteria. The anticodon of a specific tRNA base pairs to a specifier sequence within the T-box motif, and the NCCA acceptor tail of the tRNA base pairs to a conserved bulge in the T-box antiterminator hairpin.
Source: RNAcentral